RNAcentral lists this unclassified non-coding RNA (493 nucleotides) under Hevea brasiliensis (rubber tree). Lineage: Eukaryota; Viridiplantae; Streptophyta; Magnoliopsida; Malpighiales; Euphorbiaceae. The record is from RNAcentral.
CUCAAAAGGGAGAUGGAGAAGCAGUUUGUUGACCUUCUAACAGAGGAGUUGAAAUUGCAAGAGGCUGUUGCAGAAGAACAUGCACACCACAUGAACGUAACUUUUGCUGAAGCGAAGCGGGUGGCUUCCCAGUACCAAAGAGAAGCUGAAAAAUGUAAUACUGCCACUGAAACAUGUGAAGAAGCUAGGGAGCAGGCUGAGGCAUUGCUUAUCAGGGAGAGGAAAGUUACUUCCUUAUGGGAGCAACGGGCCCGCCAACUUGGUUGGGAAGGAGAAUAAUUGUUUGUAAAAGUGAUGCAAAAUUUCCUUUCGGUAGAACUAGGGGAAUUAUGCCAAUUAUUUAUAUAGGAGGCAAGCAGAUUGCUUGUGUCAUCUAGCAAAGGCAAAAACUCUCACAAAUUGUUUGUGUUCUGAAGCCAAGCAAAUGAUACAUGUGUUCACAAUUUUUACUUGUAAUUGACAUGUUGUAGAUCUGUAAGCUCAAGCAGCAGUA